Molecule: RNA transcript, 1218 nt
Organism: Lolium rigidum
Lineage: Eukaryota; Viridiplantae; Streptophyta; Magnoliopsida; Poales; Poaceae
Exons: 2
Source: RefSeq, a predicted model, not a curated record
UAAAGUGUUACUCCUGCAGGAGCUACACACUUAUGUUUGUAGAUAACCUAAAUUUUAUGAAUGCAUGAUUGAAAUGAUUUUUUUGAUUAGGUUAGUUUUCCAAGUAGUAAGAUGUUUACUGCUACAAUUGAUACAUAUGGAAAGUUAAGGGAAAUAUGAUGCUUUGGUUACAGUUUAUUUGAUUCAUUCAUAAACUUCUAGCUCUCGCACAUGUGCCAGCUGUAUGUAUACCAAUGGAAAAAAUAGAAGUAAUUAGGUUGCUUGAUUUCUACCUUAAAAGGAGAUUUCAUUCUAUUUACUCCCUUGAUUAAUUUCAUUGUAUUGUGCUUAUAGGGUUGGAUGUCAAGGAGAUUCCCACGCCAAUGCUGACAAUGACCAGUUUUGAUGCUCUGCUGCACAAACAAAUAGGAUACCAAGAUAAAGUUCGUAAAUUUUAGUGCAAAGGUGAAUUCAUAGUGUUCUUUAAAAGCUAUGUUUCUUAUAUAUCUACAGUGUUGGCUGCUAUAAUUAUCCUUCAUGUCACAGUUUAUCCAUACCUCACUGAUUGCAAUAUUUAUACAUGCGCAAAGUGCUGAUUUUUUGGCGCUCUAAGAUUAUUGUACUAUAUGCCCUGAUGUGGCAUUCAGUUACCUGUCAAACUCUUUGUGGACUUGUUUAUUUUCUUCUCUCCAUCUUAUAAACCCGAGAAAUAUGCACUGCCAAUGCAAUCUAAUCGAAUAUUAGUUUGAUAGCUGAGUGUGUGUUUUUUGAGCUAGGAGGGAGGAAGGAGAUAUGAGGCAGGAGAUUUUUUUAUACGGGUGUCCUGUGGAGGCAGCAAGCACGACACAUGUAUUCUGAGAUUUUUUUUGGGUAUGAUCGCAGAUGAUGUAGCUAAAGAUGGCUACUGGAAGUUUUGUAAGGCCCCAAUUUAUGAUGCAUUUAGGAUGACUCCUCUCAGUUUCUACUUGCCUCGGAAAAAUUCUCUUGUGGAUGAUCUGGUUUGAAGGAUUAGUCUCUAGCUGACAUAUUCUGGGUAUUGGAAAAAUGUUCUAGCGGUAUUCUAUCUCUUUGCUGCACGCUAGCUACAAGAGUGUGCCAUGUGACUUGGAUUAGGUGGGUUGUUUGGGUCUGCCGAUAGAGGAGAAGCAAGGGAAGAUGAUGUCAUUGCACUUAUGAUUUAUUUGGCCAUGAUUGCUCUUAGGAAUUGUGUGUCAGUAGUGUUCUUAAAUUAAUUUAAAU